GACGAACCGUGCGAACGUUGUUCGGGAUCACUGGGCUUAAAGGGCGCGUAGGCGGGUCGGUAAGUCCGGGGUGAAAUCCUCCAGCUCAACUGGAGAAGUGCCUUGGAUACUGCCGGUCUUGAGGGAGGUAGGGGUCUGCGGAACUUCUGGUGGAGCGGUGAAAUGCGUUGAUAUCAGAAGGAACGCCGGUGGCGAAAGCGGCGGACUGGAUCUCUUCUGACGCUGAGGCGCGAAAGCUAGGGGAGCAAACGGGAUUAGAUACCCUAGUAGU
This 271-nucleotide ribosomal RNA is filed under the name uncultured bacterium. Its description in RNAcentral is "partial 16S ribosomal RNA". It matches the Rfam family "Bacterial small subunit ribosomal RNA", at positions 524 to 794 of the family's 1533-position model. The record is from RNAcentral.